AGAAAAUAUGUGAAAUGGUGAAAUUGAAAGUAAGAAAGAAAAUUCUUUCUCUUACCUUUUUAGGGAUACUACAACAAAGCUUCUGAAUGCUUUCAGCAAGCUUUUGACACAACAGUAGAGCUAAUGAGCAUGCCUCUGAUGGAUGAGACAAAAGUUCACUAUGGAAUAGCAAAAGCUCAUCAGAUGAUGCUUACAGUGAACAACUAUAUAGAGUCUGCAGAUCUCACCAGCCUCAACUACCUGCUGUCAUGGAAGGAGAGCAGAGGUGACAUUGAACCUGAUCCAGUUACUGAAGAGUUUCGAGGAUCCACGGUGGAAACUGUAUCUCAAAAAUCAGAACAUUUGGAAGAACUCAGUAGAUUUCCAGGUGAUCAAAAAAAUGAAACUUAAAGCAGCUUUUCACUUAACAUCAAAGCGAGAAGAAAUCCAUCAUGUCACCUUAGACUUCAAUACUUGUAAUAGGAACAUGUUACAGACAAGAUAGAGUUAUAAUAAAACUGACUAUGACUCUUUCAUUGCAUUUUGUAUUGCAGUAUAUUACUAUAAAUUUAGUCCAAAACAUCUAAAUCCAUGAAAAUAAAAUAUAUUCCAAUUCUUAGAAGUAUCAGCAAUCAUCCAGGAAAUAAACAAUUUCCUCUUCUCCACUAUUCCACAAGAAAUAAUGAUACCAUGAAACCAAAAUAAGAAAAUAUUUUCUAAUGAGAAAAUAAUUACAAGCUUAAGAAAAGCUUGUAAUUUCUUAAGCAAGAAAUUUCUUUCUUGCUGAAUUCAUGUAGGAUAGUAUUUACUAAAAUUCUAGGGAAAAUUUUCAACAUAGAUAAAAAGAAUAUAAGCAAUUAAGACUACCAUAUUGACAAGUACUGUUUGAAACAGUUUGCUUUACCUGUGUAAAAGUAUAUUUUAUGAUACUUUUAACUGAUAGCACAUAAUCAAAUUUAUCCAUGUCAACUUAAAAAGUUUAAGUCCUUCAGUCUUACAAGCCUUACCUAAUGUGUCUUGCAAAUGAAAUAACACAGCUGAGAUCAUUACAUGUAUAAUUUCGGGAGAUCUGAAGAUCUCCUGAAGAUUACAGCUGUGAGCCACCACGCCAGGCUUUUACUUUGUUAUAUAACGUUUCUUUAACCAUAACCAUUUACAUUACAAAUACCCCAUCUCAUCUUACUCUAUCUAAAAAGUAGAUUAACCAGGAGAAAACUGUAUUUCCUUUUAUAAGAACAAUUGUAACUUUGAAGUUCAAAUUGAAGUUCA
RNAcentral lists this long non-coding RNA (1248 nucleotides) under Rhinopithecus bieti (black snub-nosed monkey). Its description in RNAcentral is "lncRNA (ENSRBIG00000046238.1)". The record is from RNAcentral. Lineage: Eukaryota; Metazoa; Chordata; Mammalia; Primates; Cercopithecidae.